Molecule: ribosomal RNA, 446 nt
Filed under: bacterium BCM51
Lineage: Bacteria
Description: bacterial SSU rRNA
Rfam family: Bacterial small subunit ribosomal RNA
Source: RNAcentral
CAGUCGAACGAUGAUCUCCCGCUUGCGGGGGUGAUUAGUGGCGAACGGGUGAGUAAUACGUGAGUAACCUGCCCUUGACUCUGGGAUAAGCCUGGGAAACCGGGUCUAAUACUGGAUACUACUCCUCAUCGCAUGGUGGGGGGUGGAAAGGGUUUUACUGGUUUUGGAUGGGCUCACGGCCUAUCAGCUUGUUGGUGGGGUAAUGGCUCACCAAGGCGACGACGGGUAGCCGGCCUGAGAGGGUGACCGGCCACACUGGGACUGAGACACGGCCCAGACUCCUACGGGAGGCAGCAGUGGGGAAUAUUGCACAAUGGGCGGAAGCCUGAUGCAGCGACGCCGCGUGAGGGAUGACGGCCUUCGGGUUGUAAACCUCUUUCAGCAGGGAAGAAGCCACAAGUGACGGUACCUGCAGAAGAAGCGCCGGCUAACUACGUGCCAGCAGC